GUCAUAGUUUAAUUUGUAUUGCCAUUUCUACCUCUCUAACGUCAUGGCCUGUGGGUAUGUGUUUAUUUCUGUCCCUACUCUAGGUGUUGACCUAAUUGGACCAUUCAAAGCCUCAAAGAAUGGGAACCACUUCUGUCUGACAGCAACUGACUUCUUCACCAAGUGGGUGGAGGCCAGGCCCAUCAAGGACAAGACUGCAACUGCCACAUCACAGGCUAUGAUGGACAUUUUCUACACCCAUGGGGCUCCUGAGGUCAUCUUGACAGACCAGGGUCGUGAAUUCUGGAACAAGGUAAACAAGUCCCUGUUUGAGGAGUUUGGUGUCAAGCACCGAA
This 335-nucleotide long non-coding RNA is filed under the name Gadus morhua (Atlantic cod). Its description in RNAcentral is "lncRNA (ENSGMOG00000034093.1)". The record is from RNAcentral. Lineage: Eukaryota; Metazoa; Chordata; Actinopteri; Gadiformes; Gadidae.